UCUGUGCUUGGUUUCUAACCUCAGGCUUAUCCCUGCUAGCAAAACUACGGUUGGUUUUCUUACCAGUGUUGACAGGAUGAAAAUACCUUGGUGCUAAGUGCCACUUCUUUCACAGGAAGAGACUCUUCACAUCUGCAGCAGACAUUGAAGAGACAAACGUUACUUCAGAUAACUUCAGUGACAGAACAGGGCAGAAGAGUGAUGGGUUCAGGAAAGCACGCCAGUUCCUCAGCUGCAGUACUACUAUGCUAUUCAUCUCCAUAAAGAGCUCUUUCGAAAGUAUUAUUAAACAGCAGGAAGGAAUGGUGUAUGACAGCUUCAUUAGUCACUGCAAGCCAAACCUGGCCGCUUUCUGCUGGGGAUUAUUAGCACAUUCCAAAACAUCCUUGGGUUGAUGGCAUCCAAAAUCUUUUUUUUUUCCCUUCAAAUGUAUGGAAUGUAGCCAAAUCUCAGUUUGAAAAUCCUGCUAUCAAGUCCUCUCUAGGCUGGGUUAGGCUGUAUUUGUGAAGGAAACACAGACUCCCUCCUUGGUCAUAAGAGUCCAGAAGCAUUGCAAUGGGUGAUUUGAAAUACACAGACAGAAGAAAUUAUUUUGUAGAAGUGCAGAAUGUGAUGUUCCCAAAAUGGCAAAUGUUCAUCCCACGUUACUACAUCCUCUAGGUACCAGAUACAGAACUUUAAGACCUUUUUGCACGUUUGUGUUGUGUUCACGAAAGGUACAUCCAGAAGGCAAGAUGCUCUGAUUUUAGGGAUGCUUAUGAUCUCACUGAGAUCAGUAAAUGUGGGGUUUGGAGCUAGCAUGGCAUUUCAGGCUCUGUGUUGCUCUGAGAUCAGUUCUAUUUUAAGUGUGAUACUUCUGAAUCUUCCUUAAUAGGACCAUAAGCUACAGGAUAAGUGUGAUAUGCAGAACUGAGCUCUUGUGUAAGUCUGUUGCUUGAUUUAUUGCUCUUCUGAAAUUAUCCCAAGCUGUUUAUAAAGUGAAUAAACUGACUAAAGAAAAGUAGAGUAAACAAAAUCGGUGAAAAUCCGGAUGUGGCAUGAAUGCUUUAGCUAGCUUUGAUUCCAAGAAAGCACUGUCUAAAAUCAAGUUCCUUGAUACUGAAGCUUCACUGAGCGAUGAAGUCCAGGGAAUUGACAGAACUCAUAUUUAAAAACGCUGUAUACAAAGAAGUGUUUCACUGUCUGUGUGUUUCUAAUUUCCUGUAUAUUUGUGAAAAUAAUCUCGUAAUACACAGUUAUUUAUGCUUUUCUUCCCACAUGGAACAAAAUAUUUUACAGAUAAUGCCAUUCAUAAUUAGCAGCAAGCCAGCAAAUGCCUGGUGCUUGAGUGGUGAUGACUUAAUGUACACUUGUGAGCUCAGCCAAACCCCUGGUUUGACUAAACCAACUCAUGGCAAUGAGGUGGCAGAGGAGCAUGCCUCUAUGGGCUUUUGAUAACCCUGACAGUUACUAUCUCUGGGACCCUCCAGCUACCAGUAACAGCUGAGGUCCUUCUAAGUGGAUCACAGGAGGCAAUUCUCUUCCAACCUUUUUGUUUUAUUUUAUGUAUUUGGUGUGAGUCAGUUUUUGGGGCUUUUGAGGGCUCUUCCUUGCAAGCAUUAUCAUGGUGACAGCCUUGAAGCCAAUAU
Molecule: long non-coding RNA, 1628 nt
Organism: Gallus gallus (chicken)
Lineage: Eukaryota; Metazoa; Chordata; Aves; Galliformes; Phasianidae
Source: Ensembl